UCCGGCGCAAAGAGAGGCCCAAGUGAGAUAGCUAGUUGGUAAGGUAACGGCUUACCACGGCGACGAUCUCUAGCUGUUCUGAGAGGAAGAUCAGCCACACUGGGACUGAGACACGGCCCAGACUCCUACGGGAGGCAGCAGUGGGGAAUAUUGCACAAUGGGGGAAACCCUGAUGCAGCCAUGCCGCGUGUGUGAAGAAGGCCUUCGGGUUGUAAAGCACUUUCAGUUGUGAGGAAAAGUUAGUAGUUAAUACCUGCUAGCCGUGACGUUAACAACAGAAGAAGCACCGGCUAACUCCGUGCCAGCAGCCGCGGUAAUACGGAGGGUGCGAGCGUUAAUCGGAAUUACUGGGCGUAAAGCGCACGCAGGCGGUUUGUUAAGCUAGAUGUGAAAGCCCCGGGCUCAACCUGGGAUGGUCAUUUAGAACUGGCAGACUAGAGUCUUGGAGAGGGGAGUGGAAUUCCAGGUGUAGCGGUGAAAUGCGUAGAUAUCUGGAGGAACAUCAGUGGCGAAGGCGACUCCCUGGCCAAAGACUGACGCUCAUGUGCGAAAGUGUGGGUAGCGAACAGGAUUAGAUACCCUGGUAGUCCACACCGUAAACGCUGUCUACUAGCUGUGUGUGUCUUUAAGACGUGCGUAGCGAAGCUAACGCGCUAAGUAGACCGCCUGGGGAGUACGGCCGCAAGGUUAAAACUCAAAUGAAUUGACGGGGGCCCGCACAAGCGGUGGAGCAUGUGGUUUAAUUCGAUGCAACGCGAAGAACCUUACCUACACUUGACAUGCUGAGAAGUUACUAGAGAUAGUUUCGUGCCUUCGGGAACUCAGACACAGGUGCU
Molecule: ribosomal RNA, 836 nt
Filed under: Alteromonas sp. MMRF712
Lineage: Bacteria; Pseudomonadati; Pseudomonadota; Gammaproteobacteria; Alteromonadales; Alteromonadaceae
Description: bacterial SSU rRNA
Rfam family: Bacterial small subunit ribosomal RNA
Source: RNAcentral